RNAcentral lists this transfer RNA (36 nucleotides) under Odontobdella blanchardi. RNAcentral's name for it is "partial tRNA-Leu". Lineage: Eukaryota; Metazoa; Annelida; Clitellata; Hirudinida; Salifidae. The record is from RNAcentral.
UUUAAACCCUAAUUAUGGGUAGACUCCCCUUUAUCA